AGUAACACGUGGAUAAUCUACCCUCAGGUCUGGAAUAACUCGGGGAAACUCGGGCUAAUACCGGAUAAGACCACGCUUCAUAAGGAGAGUGGGAAAAGCGGAGGCUUCUUUCGGGAACUUCGCGCCAGGGGAUGAGUCCGCGGCCCAUCAGCUUGUUGGUAAGGUAACGGCUUACCAAGGCUAAGACGGGUAGCUGGUCUGAGAGGAUGAUCAGCCACACUGGAACUGAGACACGGUCCAG
This 241-nucleotide ribosomal RNA is filed under the name uncultured bacterium. RNAcentral's name for it is "partial 16S ribosomal RNA". It matches the Rfam family "Bacterial small subunit ribosomal RNA", at positions 109 to 334 of the family's 1533-position model. The record is from RNAcentral.